Molecule: ribosomal RNA, 500 nt
Filed under: uncultured bacterium
Lineage: Bacteria
Description: partial 16S ribosomal RNA
Rfam family: Bacterial small subunit ribosomal RNA
Source: RNAcentral
AUUGAACGCUGGCGGCAGGCCUAACACAUGCAAGUCGAGCGGAUGAGAGGAGCUUGCUCCUCGAUUCAGCGGCGGACGGGUGAGUGAUGCCUAGGAAUCUGCCCAGUAGUGGGGGACAACGUUUCGAAAGGAACGCUAAUACCGCCUACGUCCUACGGGAGAAAGUGGGGGAUCUUCGGACCUCACGCUAUUGGAUGAGCCUAGGUCGGAUUAGCUAGUUGGUAGGGGAAAGGCCUACCAAGGCGACGAUCCGUAACUGGUCUGAGAGGAUGAUCAGUCACACUGGAACUGAGACACGGUCCAGACUACUACGGGAGGCAGCAGUGGGGAAUAUUGGACAAUGGGCGCAAGCCUGAUCCAGCCAUGCCGCGUGUGUGAAGAAGGCCCUCGGGUCGUAAAGCACUUUAAGUUGGGAGGAAGGGCUUACAGCGAAUACCUGUGAGUUUUGACGUUACCGACAGAAUAAGCACCGGCUAACUUCGUGCCAGCCGCCGCCGUAA